GAAAGAGCAGCCCUCGGCAGCGCUGGCCUCCGUGACUCCCCUCUAAGUCACGCCCCGAGGCGAGGGACUCCUCUGUCUCCCAACCUUGACUGGGGUGUCGCUGCCAGCCAGCCAGGAGCACCCAUCCACAGCGUGGCCUCAGGGCCAGCCGAUCAGGCCGCUCCUCGGGGAGCUGGGCCUGCCGCAGGUUUCUGCUUCUGUAACGCAGUCUGGGGACACAGAUCAGAAGCAGGGCUUUGCCAGGCGGAGCCGGGAGAGGCUGCCGAGAAAGCUGAGGGCCCCUCCCCCUGCCCUUCCCUGGAGACCUCCGUGUGGUUAGCCGCUGCACUCUGGGAAUGGCCCCGCGACCAUGUUCUGAUCGGGGUUUGUAGGGGCUUCACUGUGGUUCUAACGCCCACUGGUGCGGGGCCAGGGCUCCGCAGGGCAGCGUCUGGGGCUGCCCAGAGAACUCUGAUUCUGCAGCUGCUGCCUCCGCUGUCCACACUUGCGUCACUUCACCCUCUGUCUACACUCUGGUCACUUCACCCUCUGUCUACACUCCUGUCACUUCACCCUCCUGUCUACACUCUGGUCACUUCACCCUCUGUCUACACUCGCGUCACUUCACCCUCCUGUCUACACUCUGGUCACUUCACCCUCUGUCUACACUCGCGUCACUUCACCCUCCUGUCUACACUCUGGUCACUUCACCCCGCUGUCUACACUCCCGUUACUUUACCCUCCUGUCUACACUCUGGUCACUUCACCCUCUGUCUACACUCGCGUCACUUCACCCUCCUGUCUACACUCCCAUCACUUCACCCCCACUGUCUACACUCUGGUCACUUCACCUCCCUGUCUACACUCUCCCACUGUCUACACUCUGGUCACUUCACCUCCCUGUCUACACUCUCCCACUGUCUACACUCUGGUCACUUCACCUCCCUGUCUACACUCUCCCACUGUCUACACUCUGGUCACUUCACCUCCCUGUCUACACUCUCCCACUGUCUACACUCUGGUCACUUGACUGAACCUUGGGCUCUGGGGCUGCUCUGCAGGGCACCCUGUCUCGGAGGCUCCACUGGAGCUACACUUUUUUUUUUCUAA
This 1089-nucleotide long non-coding RNA is filed under the name Oryctolagus cuniculus (rabbit). RNAcentral describes it as "lncRNA (ENSOCUG00000030387.1)". Lineage: Eukaryota; Metazoa; Chordata; Mammalia; Lagomorpha; Leporidae. The record is from RNAcentral.